GACGUAUAUCGCUAAUCAGUUGGUCUUAACUAACACAAUAUGAAAAUUUUAUGUGAGAUACAUAUUUCUUAAAGUCAAACUGAACCGGGCCAUAACAAAUUUAAACAGUCCAAAGAUCCGACAGGGUACAUACAGACACCUAUUAGAUUAUGCGUUAUUCCAUCAUCGUCAGCUAAGUUAAACUAAAUUGCUAAACACAUGGUACACAUCUAAUCAAUAUAACAACAUACUACUUAACAGUCCACAUUGGUUCGGGUACGCCCCAAUUUACACAAAACAAAUACGAUUAGAAUGAGCCCAAGCAAAUACGAACUAAUUGAAUCAUUAUAUCCUAUUGCUACAUCUUAAACACAGAUAUUGUGAAAGCAGGUGAACGUUUCAUUUCUUUGUUUAUUUCAACUCAACUUCCAAUUCAAGCUUACAUCAACCCAUAGUUUCAGAAGUGUGUACCUGGAAACGUUUACAAUUAAAGAGAAAAGAAGUCAGCAAAGCAGCAGCAGUACAGGCAAUAGCAAAGGCAGCAGUUCCAACAGCACCAAAUACCCCAGAAAUAUACUUAAAGGAGGCUCGAAGUGAUUUGUGAAACCCGACAGCAACUAAACGAACCAAACCGACUCAAUUGGACUUAAAUUUUAGACCAAAACUGGACCAAUAGAUAGCCAAUAGGUUCCAAAAAUUGAAAUCAGUCGAGCAGACCAAUGUUAGCUAACUGGGACUUGACACUAACCCGGAAACUCACUGAAGUAGUGUUUUGUUGCUUUCGCUAUCAACUAUUUUCAAAGCCUCUCUUCGAUGCUAUGUGAACUCUAUCUACUUCUUCCAACUCAACCCUCGCUCACUCUUUCUUCUCUUCUGUUUUUCAGUCUUUUUAGCUUGUGUAUCUCUGUAUCCCUGUGUAUUCAGUGUAUCUCUCUAUGUCUAUUUCUGUUUUUCUUCUUUCUGAUUUUUCAGAACUCUUUUUGAUUUUCAGAACUCUCUCCCUUUGAACUCUCUACUGUCUGCCCCCCCCCCUUCAGCACUAUUUUUUCUCCUCCUUUAUAGAAGGAAAACUGCCCUUUUGACAGGCUGCCCAGGGUUUAAAAUAAACCUUAAAGGCUGUCAUCUCCACUUAGCCUUGUCUAGGCAUGGGGUUUCUUCUAUUUAAACUGCUGAAAUUUAGAAAAGCAGUGGAUACCCUGCUGUUCAGCAGGUUCCACUACCAUUCUCAUGUGUAUCUUCAACCUUUUUAUUAUUAAACUCAGUUUACACCUGACUCCUCAUCUGUAAAGAUGUUAGCCAAGUUGUGUCUGCACUAUGGAUUAUUCUAAAGGUUCAACCAUACUCGAACUGGCAGUCCACUCAACUUAUAUUCUGAGAUUCCAUCAAAAUUACAGCUAUAACUAAUCCUACAGUGGUUUCUGAUUCAACUUAAAAGGCCAACAUACAAUGUAAUCAGUUCUCAAUUGAUUUGAAUAAGAUUAAACCAACAGGGGUCAAAUUACUAUCAUUCCCAACUAAAGCUAAUCGACGACGUAUAUGUGAAUUACAAUAUGCAUAAUCAAUAGCAAAUGAAUCCAAGUCAAACAACAUUAACAGGUGGUUCAAAUUGCACUGACAAAACAAAGGAUUACCUUGGGGACUAAUUAAUCGACCAAAACUCAUUCCAAUCAAUUAUACAAUUCAAACACAUACGCUUAUCAGUGAACAGACGAAAAUUUCGACCAAAUAAAAGGUCUGAUUUGGAAAAACCAAAAGAACAAAGCGAAGGAAUUGGAAAUAGAAUUAUUCUAAACAAUAGACGAACAACAAAAACAAACCAAAAACAAUAGAUCAAACAGAAAGGGAAAAAAAUACCUCGAGCAAACUAGGUGAAACGGGCAUGAACUCAGAUUCGACCUUUUUGAGGUCGAACGGACCUUAAUCAAGUGUACUCAAUAGAGAACACUUUGACUAAGGUCUAUUAGACCCUCAAACCUCUGUUAAUUAGGACAAAAUCCUGAUUUCUGGAUUUCUAGGGUUCUUGGGGCUCAGAUUAAGGGUUCGGGUUUUCCUGGUUAGAUUCGGACCAAACCAAGCCUGGUUUGGUCACGAGGGAGGUCAGGGGAGUGCCUGGUGUGAAUCUGGCGUGGGUUGGUGUAGAUCGGGAUUUUGC
RNAcentral lists this long non-coding RNA (2131 nucleotides) under Nicotiana tabacum (common tobacco). Its description in RNAcentral is "long non-coding RNA (NTAB_LNC016725)". Lineage: Eukaryota; Viridiplantae; Streptophyta; Magnoliopsida; Solanales; Solanaceae. The record is from RNAcentral.